GACAAGUCAGGAUUAACCAUAAUUACAUUACCUCGUUUAAAAAGUAUCGUUUACUGAAUUAAAGCUCUAGGACAUCUGGAGUUAUAAAGCGUAGAAUUGUUAGGAUAUGUCGAGAUUUAACUGCGGCAAUAUUGCAGAAAGUAGAGUACAGAGUCGAAUAUACAUAUACAUACGCAUUGAAAAUCUCUACAUUGAGAAAUUAGUCUAAGAUUUUAAGUAAUAGGGUCCUUUUCAAUGCUGUGACAUACGUAUGAACGUAUAAUAUAUUAUGUGUAUACGCUAUUACAUAAGUAAGGUAUAUGGAGGUUCGAUCGUGCAGUUUCUAUGUGUCUUGGUAUUAUGCUAAUAUCCAUUAUGUUAAUGUGUCAAGAAUAUCUCGUGUGAAAGAAGCAAGCAAAGGUUCAUUUAUCACCGGUCAGACAUGUGAGGCUGAGAACAAUGAAACAAUGCCCCCUGCUACUCGCUUUGGUUCAUAAACAAAGUGUAAAGGUAAUUUUACGGAGCUUUAAUCAAGGAAAGAUGUGAUUGCUUAUUCAAAAGCUACUGUAAUAUUAUACAAAAAC
RNAcentral lists this unclassified non-coding RNA (563 nucleotides) under Bombus terrestris (buff-tailed bumblebee). RNAcentral describes it as "misc RNA ENSBTSG00005030907.1". The record is from RNAcentral. Lineage: Eukaryota; Metazoa; Arthropoda; Insecta; Hymenoptera; Apidae.